This 253-nucleotide ribosomal RNA is filed under the name uncultured bacterium. RNAcentral describes it as "partial 16S ribosomal RNA". It matches the Rfam family "Bacterial small subunit ribosomal RNA", at positions 524 to 776 of the family's 1533-position model. The record is from RNAcentral.
UACGAACUGUGCGAACGUUAUCCGGAAUCACUGGGCUUACAGGGUGCGUAGGCGGCUUGUUAAGUAGGGUGUGAAAGCCCCCGGCUCAACCGGGGAAUUGCGCCCUAAACUGGCGAGCUGGAGUGAGAUAGGGGUGUAUGGAACUUCCGGUGGAGCGGUGAAAUGUGUUGAUAUCGGAAGGAACGCCGGUGGCGAAAGCGACACACUGGAUCUUGUCUGACGCUGAGGCACGAAAGCCAGGGGAGCGAACGGG